This 70-nucleotide transfer RNA is filed under the name Thermobacillus composti KWC4. RNAcentral's name for it is "tRNA-Arg (CCT) (tRNA-Arg-CCT-2-1)". It matches the Rfam family "tRNA", at positions 9 to 71 of the family's 71-position model. Rfam says of the family: Transfer RNA (tRNA) molecules are approximately 80 nucleotides in length. Their secondary structure includes four short double-helical elements and three loops (D, anti-codon, and T loops). The record is from RNAcentral. Lineage: Bacteria; Bacillati; Bacillota; Bacilli; Caryophanales; Paenibacillaceae.
GGCUUUGCGCCGUUAAGCGACAGUUUCCUAAUCUGUGCGUCGUGGGUUCGAGUCCCACCGUGGCGCGCCA